UCCUGGAUAUGGAUUUGUGGCAGGCCCCUCCCCUGUGCCUCUGAUAGUGCCCAGCCUGGGGCAGACUAGCCCAGAAGCUCUGCCUGACCUCUGUCCUUAGGCUUCUGGCACUGAAACAGGUUGCACAGUG
Molecule: small nucleolar RNA, 130 nt
Organism: Ictidomys tridecemlineatus (thirteen-lined ground squirrel)
Lineage: Eukaryota; Metazoa; Chordata; Mammalia; Rodentia; Sciuridae
Source: Ensembl